Molecule: ribosomal RNA, 425 nt
Filed under: uncultured bacterium
Lineage: Bacteria
Description: bacterial SSU rRNA
Rfam family: Bacterial small subunit ribosomal RNA
Source: RNAcentral
UAGGGAAUCUUGCGCAAUGGGCGAAAGCCUGACGCAGCAACGCCGCGUGGGGGAUGAAGGCCUUCGGGUUGUAAACUCCUUUUAGUGGGAACGAAAAUGACGGUACCCACAGAAAAAGCCCCGGCUAACUACGUGCCAGCAGCCGCGGUGAUACGUAGGGGGCGAGCGUUGUCCGGAUUCACUGGGCGUAAAGAGCUCGUAGGUGGUUUGAUAAGUCGGAUGUUAAAUCUCCAGGCUCAACCUGGAUGCGCCAUUCGAUACUGUCAUGACUAGAGUCCGGUAGGGGACCAUGGAAUUCCUGGUGUAGCGGUGAAAUGCGCAGAUAUCAGGAGGAACACCAGUAGCGAAGGCGGUGGUCUGGGCCGGUACUGACACUGAGGAGCGAAAGCGUGGGGAGCGAACAGGAUUAGAUACCCCCGUAGUCC